GACCGUCAGCACGGCCACAGAGCAUUCUUCCGUGACACAACGGGAACAUUUUAAACCUGAAAUAAAAUCUCCUGCUGCUGUGGGCACAGACCGAAACAGCAAUGUGAGCCUACGUAACAGUGUGUGAAGGACAAGAACACGAAAACCAGAGACUUGUAUCUAUCUUUGUUUUUACCACCUUAGCAAAAUACUAUCGCAUUACAAAUAUUUUCAGCUUAUUGAAUUUAUAUGAAAUUUGAGAAUAGAACUUGAUGUUUCUCAAAAGGUUUCCGUGAGUAGCAAAUGGCAGUCACCAACACCGUGGGUAUUCUCUAGUUUUUACUGUAAUUUCCUAACCUGAAUAAGUAUCUAUACUCCCAUAGCUCAUCGUACUGAGUAUUCACCUAGUCUGUAGAGAUGGAUGAUUAAGCUGUGAUGUGAAAAGAGGAUGUGAACUAAGUAAGAGAAUGAUUGCUUCCCAGGAGGAGGAAAACCCACCAUCAAAAGCUCUACAACCCAACGAUGUAAGGAACAACUCCAUGGAGGGAGAUAUUAGAGAGAUGUAGAAGAAGCCUCCACUCACUAUAAAGUUGCUGGAGCAGAAUCAUUUGAGAUAACGGUGACCAGUCAGAAUUCCACAGUCAAGAUCGAAUUAAAGAAAUUACAUAAAGUUUUAGAGGCCAUUAUUUUAGGCCAGGGCAUGGGGUCAGGGGGCCAGUGAUGAAGCAGCACACACUGAAGUGUUCAAGAAGGGCAUAGCUACCACUUCAUAGGAGACGGUCUCAGCCAUUGCUUCUUGGUCUUCUGCUUCUGUACAGAGUUCCUUAUAAACAUUCUUUGAUUCCCUC
Molecule: long non-coding RNA, 827 nt
Filed under: Rattus norvegicus (Norway rat)
Lineage: Eukaryota; Metazoa; Chordata; Mammalia; Rodentia; Muridae
Description: long non-coding RNA NONRATT006231
Source: RNAcentral